Molecule: ribosomal RNA, 558 nt
Filed under: uncultured bacterium
Lineage: Bacteria
Description: bacterial SSU rRNA
Rfam family: Bacterial small subunit ribosomal RNA
Source: RNAcentral
UCGACGCGAGCACUUGUGCUCGAGUGGCGAACGGGUGAGUAAUACAUAAGUAACCUGCCCUAGACAGGGGGAUAACUAUUGGAAACGAUAGCUAAGACCGCAUAGGUACGGACACUGCAUGGUGACCGUAUUAAAAGUGCCUCAAAGCACUGGUAGAGGAUGGACUUAUGGCGCAUUAGCUGGUUGGCGGGGUAACGGCCCACCAAGGCGACGAUGCGUAGCCGACCUGAGAGGGUGACCGGCCACACUGGGACUGAGACACGGCCCAGACUCCUACGGGAGGCAGCAGUAGGGAAUUUUCGGCAAUGGGGGAAACCCUGACCGAGCAACGCCGCGUGAAGGAAGAAGGUUUUCGGAUUGUAAACUUCUGUUAUAAAGGAAGAACGGCGGCUACAGGAAAUGGUAGCCGAGUGACGGUACUUUAUUAGAAAGCCACGGCUAACUACGUGCCAGCAGCCGCGGUAAUACGUAGGUGGCAAGCGUUAUCCGGAAUUAUUGGGCGUAAAGAGGGAGCAGGCGGCAGCAAGGGUCUGUGGUGAAAGCCUGAAGCUUAACUUC